RNAcentral lists this ribosomal RNA (253 nucleotides) under uncultured bacterium. Its description in RNAcentral is "partial 16S ribosomal RNA". It matches the Rfam family "Bacterial small subunit ribosomal RNA", at positions 524 to 776 of the family's 1533-position model. The record is from RNAcentral.
UACAGGGGGUGCAAGCGUUGUUCGGAAUUACUGGGCGUAAAGCGCGGGCAGGUGGCCCUUUAAGUCCUUUGUGAAAUCCCGGAGCUCAACUCCGGAUGUGCAUAGGAUACUGGAGGGCUUGAGACUGGUAGAGGCGAGCGGAAUUCCUGGUGUAGCGGUGGAAUGCGUAGAUAUCAGGAAGACCACCAGUGGCGAAGGCGGCUUGCCAGAACGCGCUCGACGGUGAGGGAUGAAAGCUGGGGGAGCAAACCGG